ACUAGAAUGCCUCUGACUUUUUCAUAGGACAGUUGGCCGAGGAAGACACUUAAAGAUGAAGUGCUUAAUUCAAGGUCACAGAAUGUCGGGGAUGGACCUCCAGAUUUCCUUACUGACCUGCAUUAUCUUGUGGAUACCUGAGUGAAUUCCACACCACCCAUUUUAUAGAUGAAGCCACUGAGACGUGGAGCAACUGACUGAGUAGUCACUGCCCCACCCCUGCCUGGAGCCUCACACAUGACUUCUCUUAGUGACCACAGGAAAACAAGCUCAGGGCUCCCACUGAUUGUACAUUAUGAGACAGAGUCUUCUUGCUAUGUUGCCCAGGCUGGUCUUGAACUCCUAACCUCAAGCGAUCCUCCCAUCUUGGCCUCCCAGGUGUCAGGAUUACAGGCAUGUGCUAUCACACCCAACCUGAUACAUUGCCUUUAUAAAUUUUUUUUUCUUUAUUCUAAAAAACAGAAAAAACAAAACUGGAUACAUGUGCAGAACAUGCAGACCAAGUGUGUUGGGGACUUGAGAUAUGUACAUGAGUGUUUGUGAUGUUUCCUGGUGAAAGCACAGGUGAGACGUGGUCUUGUAACACAGUGGUUAAGAAUGUGACUUUGGAGCCAGCCUGCUAGGGGCUGAAUUCUGACUCAGCCAUUUAUUAACUGUGUGACCUUAGGUCAUAGAAUUUUCCACACUCCUUGACGGAGGUUCUUAACCCUUAUCCAUCAGCAUUCUCAGACAGCACCUCCGGUUAGGGACAGUAUCUGACCGUCCGACAUCCCUGCAGCCCCCA
Molecule: non-coding RNA, 784 nt
Filed under: Pongo abelii (Sumatran orangutan)
Lineage: Eukaryota; Metazoa; Chordata; Mammalia; Primates; Hominidae
Source: RNAcentral